RNAcentral lists this ribosomal RNA (477 nucleotides) under uncultured bacterium. Its description in RNAcentral is "partial 16S ribosomal RNA". It matches the Rfam family "Bacterial small subunit ribosomal RNA", at positions 30 to 523 of the family's 1533-position model. The record is from RNAcentral.
AUUGAACGCUGGCGGCAGGCUUAACACAUGCAAGUCGAGCGGGGUGAUGGUGCUUGCACUAUCACUUAGCGGCGGACGGGUGAGUAAUGUAUAGAUAACCUGCCCUUAAGAAAGGAAUAACAGUUGGAAACGACUGCUAAUGCCCUAUAUGCCUUUAAUACAUAAGUAUGCAAGGGAAACGCUUUAGUGCUUAAGGAUGGGUCUGUAUGGUAUCAGCUUGUUGGUGAUGUAAUGGCUCACCAAGGCUAUGACGCCUAACUGGUUUGAGAGGAUGAUCAGUCACACUGGAACUGAGACACGGUCCAGACCCCUACGGGAGGCAGCAGUGGGGAAUAUUGCACAAUGGACGAAAGGCUGAUGCAGCAACGCCGCGUGGAGGAUGACACAUUUCGGUGCGUAAACUCCUUUGAUAUAGGAAGAUAAUGACGGUACUAUAUGAAUAAGCACCGGCUAACUCCGUGCCAGCCGCCGCGGUAA